UACGGAGGGAGCUAGCGUUGUUCGGAUAUACUGGGCGUAAAGGGCACGUAGGCGGCUUGGCAAAUCGGUCGUGGAAUCCCGACGCUUACCGUCGGAACGGCGGCCGAAAAUACCGAGCUCGAGGGCGUGAGGGGUCACUGGAACUCCUGGUGAAGCGGUGAAAUGCGUAGAUAUCAGGAAGAACACCGGUGGCGAAGGCGCUCUGCUAGGCCGCAACUGACACUGAGGGACGAAAGCUAGGGGAGCGAAUGGG
Molecule: ribosomal RNA, 253 nt
Filed under: uncultured bacterium
Lineage: Bacteria
Description: partial 16S ribosomal RNA
Rfam family: Bacterial small subunit ribosomal RNA
Source: RNAcentral